Molecule: ribosomal RNA, 453 nt
Filed under: uncultured Porphyromonadaceae bacterium
Lineage: Bacteria; Pseudomonadati; Bacteroidota; Bacteroidia; Bacteroidales; Porphyromonadaceae
Description: partial 16S ribosomal RNA
Rfam family: Bacterial small subunit ribosomal RNA
Source: RNAcentral
ACGGGAGGCAGCAGUGAGGAAUAUUGGUCAAUGGACGGAAGUCUGAACCAGCCAAGUCGCGUGAAGGAUGAAGGUAUUAUGUAUUGUAAACUUCUUUAGCAGUGGAGUAAUAAGGGGAUCGCGAUCCCUGAUGCAAGUACACUGAGAAUAAGGAUCGGCUAACUCCGUGCCAGCAGCCGCGGUAAUACGGAGGAUCCGAGCGUUAUCCGGAUUUAUUGGGUUUAAAGGGUGCGCAGGCGGCGUGCUAAGUCAGCGGUUAAAUAGUGAGGCUCAACCUCAUCCCGCCGUUGAUACUGGCAUGCUUGAUUGCGGUCGAGGUUGGCGGAAUUCGCCGUGUAGCGGUGAAAUGCAUAGAUAUGGCGAAGAACUCCGAUUGCGUAGGCAGCUGACCAGGCCGUAAAUGACGCUCAUGCACGAAAGUGCGGGGAUCGAACAGGAUUAGAUACCCUGGUA